GCGAAUGUAACCAAGUGGUAAGGUAAUGAUUUGUGGCAUCAUGAUACGCGGGUUCAAUUCCCGUCGUUCGCCCCA
RNAcentral lists this transfer RNA (75 nucleotides) under Dichotomosiphon tuberosus. Its description in RNAcentral is "tRNA-His". It matches the Rfam family "tRNA". Rfam says of the family: Transfer RNA (tRNA) molecules are approximately 80 nucleotides in length. Their secondary structure includes four short double-helical elements and three loops (D, anti-codon, and T loops). Lineage: Eukaryota; Viridiplantae; Chlorophyta; Ulvophyceae; Bryopsidales; Dichotomosiphonaceae. The record is from RNAcentral.